AACGAACGCUGGCGGCGCGCCUAAUACAUGCAAGUCGAGCGAGAAGACGUAGCAAUACGUUUGUAAAGCGGCGAACGGGUGAGGAAUACAUGGGUAACCUACCCUCGAGUGGGGAAUAACUAGCCGAAAGGUUAGCUAAUACCGCGUACGCUCCUUGGACUUCGGUUCAGGGAGGAAAGCGAUACCGUGGGUAUCGCGCUCUUGGAUGGGCUCAUGUCCUAUCAGCUUGUUGGUGAGGUAACGGCUCACCAAGGCUUCGACGGGUAGCUGGUCUGAGAGGACGAUCAGCCACACUGGCACUGCGACACGGGCCAGACUCCUACGGGAGGCAGCAGUAAGGAAUAUUGCGCAAUGGGCGAAAGCCUGACGCAGCGACG
RNAcentral lists this ribosomal RNA (377 nucleotides) under uncultured bacterium. RNAcentral's name for it is "bacterial SSU rRNA". It matches the Rfam family "Bacterial small subunit ribosomal RNA", at positions 29 to 396 of the family's 1533-position model. The record is from RNAcentral.